UUGCACGCUGGCGGCAUGCCUUACACAUGCAAGUCGAACGGUAACAGGUCUUCGGAUGCUGACGAGUGGCGAACGGGUGAGUAAUACAUCGGAACGUGCCCAGACGUGGGGGAUAACGAGGCGAAAGCUUUGCUAAUACCGCAUACGAUCUAAGGAUGAAAGCAGGGGACCGCAAGGCCUUGCGCGUUUGGAGCGGCCGAUGGCAGAUUAGGUAGUUGGUGAGAUAAAAGCUUACCAAGCCGACGAUCUGUAGCUGGUCUGAGAGGACGACCAGCCACACUGGGACUGAGACACGGCCCAGACUCCUACGGGAGGCAGCAGUGGGGAAUUUUGGACAAUGGGCGAAAGCCUGAUCCAGCAAUGCCGCGUGCAGGAUGAAGGCCUUCGGGUUGUAAACUGCUUUUGUACGGAACGAAAAGGCUCUGGCUAAUACCUGGGGCACAUGACGGUACCGUAAGAAUAAGCACCGGCUAACUACGUG
Molecule: ribosomal RNA, 481 nt
Filed under: uncultured bacterium
Lineage: Bacteria
Description: partial 16S ribosomal RNA
Rfam family: Bacterial small subunit ribosomal RNA
Source: RNAcentral